GACGAACGCUGGCGGCGUGCUUAACACAUGCAAGUCGAACGGUGAAGCUCCAGCUUGCUGGAGUGGAUCAGUGGCGAACGGGUGAGUAACACGUGAGCAACCUGCCCCAGACUCUGGAAUAAGCGCUGGAAACGGCGUCUAAUACUGGAUACGAGAUCAAGCCGCAUGGUUACGGUCUGGAAAGUUUUUCGGUUUGGGAUGGGCUCGCGGCCUAUCAGCUUGUUGGUGAGGUAAUGGCUCACCAAGGCGACGACGGGUAGCCGGCCUGAGAGGGCGACCGGCCACACUGGGACUGAGACACGGCCCAGACUCCUACGGGAGGCAGCAGUGGGGAAUAUUGCACAAUGGGCGAAAGCCUGAUGCAGCGACGCCGCGUGAGGGAUGACGGCCUUCGGGUUGUAAACCUCUUUCAGCAGGGAAGAGGCGAAAGUGACGGUACCUGCAGAAGAAGCACCGGCUAACUACGUG
Molecule: ribosomal RNA, 468 nt
Filed under: uncultured bacterium
Lineage: Bacteria
Description: partial 16S ribosomal RNA
Rfam family: Bacterial small subunit ribosomal RNA
Source: RNAcentral